UACGGAGGGUGCGAGCGUUAAUCGGAAUAACUGGGCGUAAAGGGCACGCAGGCGGGCUUUUAAGUGAGGUGUGAAAUCCCCGGGCUUAACCUGGGAAUAGCAUUUCAGACUGGGAGUCUAGAGUACUUUAGGGAGGGGUAGAAUGCCACGUGUAGCGGUGAAAUGCGUAGAGAUGUGGAGGAAUACCGAAGGCGAAGGCAGCCCCGUGGGCAUUUACUGACGCUCAUGUGCGAAAGCGUGGGGAGCAAACAGA
RNAcentral lists this ribosomal RNA (253 nucleotides) under uncultured bacterium. Its description in RNAcentral is "partial 16S ribosomal RNA". It matches the Rfam family "Bacterial small subunit ribosomal RNA", at positions 524 to 776 of the family's 1533-position model. The record is from RNAcentral.